CGACGAUCAGUAGCCGACCUGAGAGGGCGACCGGCCACAUUGGGACUGAGACACGGCCCAAACUCCUACGGGAGGCAGCAGUGGGGAAUAUUGCACAAUGGGGGAAACCCUGAUGCAGCGACGCCGCGUGAGUGAGGAAGUAUUUCGGUAUGUAAAGCUCUAUCAGCAGGGAAGAAAAUGACGGUACCUGACUAAGAAGCCCCGGCUAACUACGUGCCAGCAGCCGCGGUAAUACGUAGGGGGCAAGCGUUAUCCGGAUUUACUGGGUGUAAAGGGAGCGUAGACGGAUAAGCAAGUCUGAUGUGAAAAUCCGGGGCCCAACCCCGGAAUUGCAUUGGAAACUGCAUAUCUAGAGUGUCGGAGAGGCAAGUGGAAUUCCUGGUGUAGCGGUGAAAUGCGUAGAUAUCAGGAGGAACACCAGUGGCGAAGGCGGCUUGCUGGACGAUGACUGACGUUGAGGCUCGAAAGCGUGGGGAGCAAACAGGAUUAGAUACCCUGGUAGUCCACGCCGUAAACGAUGACUACUAGGUGUCGGG
Molecule: ribosomal RNA, 536 nt
Filed under: uncultured bacterium
Lineage: Bacteria
Description: bacterial SSU rRNA
Rfam family: Bacterial small subunit ribosomal RNA
Source: RNAcentral